Molecule: ribosomal RNA, 472 nt
Filed under: uncultured Anoxybacillus sp.
Lineage: Bacteria; Bacillati; Bacillota; Bacilli; Caryophanales; Anoxybacillaceae
Description: bacterial SSU rRNA
Rfam family: Bacterial small subunit ribosomal RNA
Source: RNAcentral
UUGACGGGGCCCGCACAAGCGGUGGAGCAUGUGGUUUAAUUCGAAGCAACGCGAAGAACCUUACCAGGUCUUGACAUCCCCUGACAACCCGAGAGAUCGGGCGUUCCCCUUCGGGGGACAGGGUGACAGGUGGUGCAUGGUUGUCGUCAGCUCGUGUCGUGAGAUGUUGGGUUAAGUCCCGCAACGAGCGCAACCCUCGACCUUAGUUGCCAGCAUUCAGUUGGGCACUCUAAGGUGACUGCCGGCUAAAAGUCGGAGGAAGGUGGGGAUGGCGUCAAAUCAUCAUGCCCCUUAUGACCUGGGCUACACACGUGCUACAAUGGGCGGUACAAAGGGUCGCGAACCCGCGAGGGGGAGCCAAUCCCAAAAAGCCGCUCUCAGUUCGGAUUGCAGGCUGCAACUCGCCUGCAUGAAGCCGGAAUCGCUAGUAAUCGCGGAUCAGCAUGCCGCGGUGAAUACGUUCCCGAGCCUU